RNAcentral lists this ribosomal RNA (474 nucleotides) under Didymella sp. RNAcentral's name for it is "eukaryotic LSU rRNA". It matches the Rfam family "Eukaryotic large subunit ribosomal RNA", at positions 76 to 554 of the family's 3401-position model. Lineage: Eukaryota; Fungi; Ascomycota; Dothideomycetes; Pleosporales; Didymellaceae. The record is from RNAcentral.
UGCCCUAGUAACGGCGAGUGAAGCGGCAACAGCUCAAAUUUGAAAUCUGGCGUCUUCGGCGUCCGAGUUGUAAUUUGCAGAGGGCGCUUUGGCAUUGGCAGCGGUCCAAGUUCCUUGGAACAGGACGUCACAGAGGGUGAGAAUCCCGUACGUGGUCGCUAGCCUUUACCGUGUAAAGCCCCUUCGACGAGUCGAGUUGUUUGGGAAUGCAGCUCUAAAUGGGAGGUAAAUUUCUUCUAAAGCUAAAUACUGGCCAGAGACCGAUAGCGCACAAGUAGAGUGAUCGAAAGAUGAAAAGCACUUUGGAAAGAGAGUUAAAAAGCACGUGAAAUUGUUGAAAGGGAAGCGCUUGCAGCCAGACUUGCCUGUAGUUGCUCAUCCGGGUUUCUACCCGGUGCACUCUUCUAUAGGCAGGCCAGCAUCAGUUUGGGCGGUUGGAUAAAGGUCUCUGUCAUGUACCUCUCUUCGGGGAGA